GAAUUAGUAGCUCAGUCGGUAGAGCAUUUGACUUUUAAUCAAAGGGUCCGGGGUUCGAAUCCCCGCUAGUUCACCA
This 76-nucleotide transfer RNA is filed under the name Ruminococcaceae bacterium FB2012. RNAcentral's name for it is "tRNA_Lys_TTT". It matches the Rfam family "tRNA". Rfam says of the family: Transfer RNA (tRNA) molecules are approximately 80 nucleotides in length. Lineage: Bacteria; Bacillati; Bacillota; Clostridia; Eubacteriales; Oscillospiraceae. The record is from RNAcentral. RNAcentral also lists the same sequence under 1 other name.